Molecule: ribosomal RNA, 346 nt
Filed under: uncultured fungus
Lineage: Eukaryota; Fungi
Description: SSU rRNA
Rfam family: Eukaryotic small subunit ribosomal RNA
Source: RNAcentral
GUAGUCAUAUGCUUGUCUCAAAGUUUAAGCCAUGCAUGUCUAAGUAUAAGCAAUUAUACCGUGAAACUGCGAAUGGCUCAUUAAAUCAGUUAUCGUUUAUUUGAUAGUACCUUACUACUUGGAUAACCGUGGUAAUUCUAGAGCUAAUAUAUGCUGAAAACCCCAACUUCGGGAGGGGUGUAUUUAUUAGAUAAAAAACCAAUGCCCUUCGGGGCUUCUUGGUGACUCAUGAUAACUUUACGGAUCGCAUGGCCUUGCGCCGGCGACGGUUCAUUCAAAUUUCUGCCCUAUCAACUUUCGAUGGUAAGGUAUUGGCUUACCAUGGUUUCAACGGGUAACGGGGAAU